GAUCAGCACCACCAGGGUAACAGUUCUAACCCCAUUAGAACAACGUAGGUUCACAGUGAAGUGUCACCUUCUCCUUAUUGAACCAUUGUGUUAAACUUUCAUUAACAAACUUUUCUGGUUUGACUUGUGACACAAAUCUUUUCCAUCUGUUCACAUUUAAAAGAAUCAAUAUGUGUAAACAGAGUCCUGGUCAAAGGUUGUAGACCCCCCCACACACACACUAAGUUCAGGCCAGAGGAAUAACCUGAAAUGGUACAAAGUUGAGCUUGGACCUGAUUUCAUAUAAACCAUAAACCUUUCCAGAGUUUGAGGUUUCAGACGAUUUCUAUUAUCUUAGAAGCUGGAUACGCCACAAGUGAAAGAUCCGAGCAAAGAGAAGGAACCUAUAGAAACUGUGUUUAUAUAAAAUCGACCUUUCAUGUCACCAAGGAGCCUGAUUGGACGACUGAGUUCAGACUGACUUGGAACAAACAAACGGUACGGGAGCCACGCCCCCGAUCCAGGUGGGGGGGAAGUGGUGGGUGUGUCCUCGGGUCAGAGACAUGACGAAGGUGUUCUCCUCGGGGCUGUGGAUGGACGCCAGGUUGGCUCCUUC
This is a long non-coding RNA of Platichthys flesus (European flounder), 595 nucleotides long. RefSeq lists it as uncharacterized. Lineage: Eukaryota; Metazoa; Chordata; Actinopteri; Pleuronectiformes; Pleuronectidae. The record is from RefSeq and is a predicted model, not a curated record. The transcript is spliced from 3 exons.